RNAcentral lists this long non-coding RNA (1535 nucleotides) under Gossypium barbadense (sea-island cotton). Its description in RNAcentral is "long non-coding RNA (GBAR_LNC008210)". Lineage: Eukaryota; Viridiplantae; Streptophyta; Magnoliopsida; Malvales; Malvaceae. The record is from RNAcentral.
UUUGGAACUAGGUUAGGAACACAAGCAGGCAUUACUGCUCCAUCCCUUGUGUUGGAGACACAUUCAAAUGGCAUUUGGCCAGAAGGUUUGGGUAGUUGGCAAACUGCGGUUCAGUGCCUGGAACGGUGUUGGCACCGGUGGAGUUUGUGCAAGGUUGGUUCUUAAAUUGAUCUGCUAGUUCAUCAGCAAGGCACUCGGCAUUGUCAUUUUUCUUCAGAAUUGUCAAGUUCAAUGAAGCCCGGUAAUCGUUUAUGCCUUUAAGAAGAUUAUCCUCCUCAUCUGUAAAUGGUCAAGAAUAAAGUCGGUGAUUACAUAUAAUAUUUUACUGCCAUUUCGUAUUAGAAAGAAUAAACAAAAAAGUUCUAUUUUGGGUGUGAACCAAAAUGCAAAGAAGAUCGAUUUUCUUCGCCUCUUGAAACAAAAAGAAAAUCAUAGUUACAUGGCAGAAAAUUUCCAGCAAAAUAAGUUUAUAUCCUCCCAUGUAGCUAAAUUGCUGAACAGCUAAACAUCAGAAAGAUCCAGUACUGCAACUCAUGAAGUUACUCAAAAUUCAAACCAAGUAAUCCAUACAAAAGCCAAAUCUCAUCAGUCAGCUUAGGAUAUCAGAGAGAAAACAACAUUUUUAUUCAAAGGGGAAACCAUACAGGCUAAUAAAACCCAGAUUUCUAGCUAUAUGACUGCACUCUAGACCCUCCAAACAAAGUCAAUCUGAACCCGCAUCUAAUUCAAAUUUGAUGGCUCAUAUUAGCCAUAGUUAUGAUGGUCAGAGCUCAAGGUUAGGUUUAGGACUGUAAUACAGCUGAGUCAAAAAUCGGAUCCAGCUCAGUUAAGUACCAUUUUUUGAGAUAGAGCUUUGCUCUAGAUGAAAUCGAACUAUUUUUCAUACAGGAAGGACAACUAGAAAUCUGCAUUCUGCUGGAACAGUGAGUCCGAAAAUUCUAAGACAUAUUACAUGAAAAAUUAGGGAAGUGUUUACUUGGUGCACCAGUAGCUGGCGAAUAGCUUCCUUCAGGUGUGCCUGUUGUGAGAACAACUACUAUCCAGUCUCCAUCGGAACCAAUCCCAACUCCUGUAUACUUGGUGUCAUUGAGGUUAUCAUUAUACUGAGACUGUGUAAAGUUAGUGAGUACAAGAUUUGGAACUAGGUUAGGAACACAAGCAGGCAUUACUGCUCCAUCCCUUGUGUUGGAGACAUUCAAAUGGCAUUUGGCCAGAAGGUUUGGGUAGUUGGCAAACUGCGGUUCAGUGCCUGGAACGGUGUUGGCACCGGUGGAGUUUGUGCAAGGUUGGUUCUUAAAUUGAUCUGCUAGUUCAUCAGCAAGGCACUCGGCAUUGUCAUUUUUCUUCAGAAUUGUCAAGUUCAAUGAAGCCCGGUAAUCGUUUAUGCCUUUAAGAAGAUUAUCCUCCUCAUCUGUAAAUGGUCAAGAAUAAAGUCGGUGAUUACAUAUAAUAUUUUACUGCCAUUUCGUAUUAGAAAGAAUAAACAAAAAAGUUCUAUUUUGGGUGUGAACCAAAAUGCAAAGAAGAUCGAUUUU